ACAGGAAAUAAGAAGUGGGGAGAUGGAGUGACCACGAACUUCAGCCCAGGGGUGGGUGGCUCAAGUAUGACUCAACAAGUGGCUCAGCCUUCUGACUCUGGCAGUUUCCGCUCGAGGCUGCUACCUGGAGAGCUAAGACUCUGCAGACUGUCAGGUGUCUCUGAAGAAAGCUGUCCAGGAAGUUCACGCUGUGAUAAGACAACGCCCACUGCCUGAAGGCAUCUGCAGACAUCCAAGCCGCUGGUAACCUUCGCUCCUGACUCCUUCCACAGUGUUUAUAUUAUGCAAAUAUCAUUGUAACCUAAAGAUUCGGUGUACCUAUAUAUAUUCUGGACAUUGUGAGUAAAGAUACGAAGCCUUGAUUGGGGCACAACUUG
Molecule: long non-coding RNA, 377 nt
Organism: Mastomys coucha (southern multimammate mouse)
Lineage: Eukaryota; Metazoa; Chordata; Mammalia; Rodentia; Muridae
Exons: 2
Source: RefSeq, a predicted model, not a curated record